Molecule: non-coding RNA, 248 nt
Organism: Sus scrofa (pig)
Lineage: Eukaryota; Metazoa; Chordata; Mammalia; Artiodactyla; Suidae
Source: RefSeq, a predicted model, not a curated record
AGAAGCCUAGUGGAUUUCAUGGAGCAGCUUUGGAAAACAUUCUUCUCCUUUUUAGUCAAGGCACAUUCUGGAAACAGAGUAUCUCUCCUGCUAAAAGACCUCCGCAGAAACAUCAUAGCAGAGAUGAGCGCUGUGGAAGCGUGUCGGAUUUUCCAGCAGCCUCUGAAGCCCCUGGGAGCCUCGGUGACUCUGCAGAAAGUGAAGUUGCUGGUCCUGCGUCUGCUUGUCAUCUUUGCAGAAAACCCUCC